Non-coding RNA from Aedes aegypti (yellow fever mosquito), 82 nucleotides. The record is from Rfam. NCBI's taxonomy places the organism in Eukaryota, Metazoa, Arthropoda, Insecta, Diptera, Culicidae.
UCUAGCUCUGAUUGUCCAAACGCAAUUCUUGUUUUAUUCGAAUAUGAUAUCCAAGAGUUGUGACUGGACAUCCGUGGCUCGA